UACAGAGGGUGCAAGCGUUGUUCGGAAUUAUUGGGCGUAAAGCGCGUGUAGGCGGCUUUGCAAGUCGGGUGUGAAAGCCCUCAGCUCAACUGAGGAAGUGCGCCCGAAACUGCAGAGCUUGAGUACCAGAGAGGAUGGCGGAAUUCCCCAAGUAGAGGUGAAAUUCGUAGAUAUGGGGAGGAACACCGGUGGCGAAGGCGGCCAUCUGGAUGGAUACUGACGCUGAGACGCGAAAGCGUGGGUAGCAAACAGG
This 253-nucleotide ribosomal RNA is filed under the name uncultured bacterium. RNAcentral describes it as "partial 16S ribosomal RNA". It matches the Rfam family "Bacterial small subunit ribosomal RNA", at positions 524 to 776 of the family's 1533-position model. The record is from RNAcentral.